This 3053-nucleotide long non-coding RNA is filed under the name Daucus carota (carrot). RNAcentral's name for it is "long non-coding RNA (DCAR_LNC004674)". Lineage: Eukaryota; Viridiplantae; Streptophyta; Magnoliopsida; Apiales; Apiaceae. The record is from RNAcentral.
UCACUAUUCAGGUAUCAUUCUGAGCGGCCACUGUACAAUUCUACAAUGAUCUUUCAAAUGGUUCUAGUUCUAGUAGUGCACAACGUCCGAUGAAUGCAAUAUACACAAGCUAUUGCUAAUUGAAUAAUACAUCCCUGACGUUUCAGGUUCAAGAAAUAUCAAUUCUUCUGAUUUAAUGAUUCAAAGGAUGCAAUGACUUGAGACCUCAAUAGUAAACAAAAAUUCUGUGCUCACCAUGCAAUUCAAUUUGUAAUACCGAUGCUGCAGGCAAUUGGCUGCAGCAGGUACACACCUUUGAAAAAGAUGUCAACACACCAACAAAUCAAUCAACGACUAUUUACAUCACGUCCAUCGUUCUCUUUAGGAACCGUCUCCUGCAUUUGAGCGGGCUGCUUGAGAUUGAGCAACAUGCUGUCUCAGCAGAUCUUUAAGCUUUUCUAGCAAUUCUUGGAAACUCGGGCGGCUUCUUGGCUCACUGGUUCAACAAAAUUGUCAAAUAAGCUCUUAUUACACUAAAGGAAGUCUUCAGAGUGAAGUUUAGGAAAAAAUUGGCAGCAAAAACUGAGUCUAAGCUCUUUUUUACAAUACUGUUUUAUGGAUGUGCACAGCAUGUGCUAAAAAUCUUAACUCUGUUUAUAUCCUAAAAGAUAAAUUAUUGCAAAAUAUUAGGUUCUCCUAUGACAAUAUAGCAAGCAUUUAACUAGGGAACAGUAUUCCAUAAGUGCUUACAUUGUUGAAAUGUAAUUUGAAAACAGUAUCUAAAACAUGUAACAAACGAAAUGUGUAUUAACCUGUGCCAACAGCUCUCAAUUAUGGAAGCAAACUGUGGAUCCACCUCUUUAGGGAUCUCUAGCCGGUGGUUCAUGAACCCGACAGCUCCAAUCACCUGAAAGUCCUUGACGAGUUAGUUCUGCUUCGACAAUUGCACAUAAUCAGAACAUCAGGACAAGUCGGGAGUUUUGGGUAAACCAGUUCAGCUAGAGCCAGAUCUAAGCAAUACCUGCAUUGAGUUAAGAUUGUCCCAAGGAAUCUUCUCAGUAGCUAUUUCCCACAAUAUCACCCCAUAGCUGUACACGUCAGACCUAAAAAUUUCCAACCGAAAGAAGUAUGGUUAAUUCAAAAGGUUUAUCUUUUGCACAUCUAAAAAGAGAAGUGAAUUAAAGCAUACUUUUCAUCUGAAGGUUCAUUCCGUAGAACUUCUGGGGCCAUCCAUUGGGGCUACAAAAAAUAGAAAGAGAAUCUAUUUUAAGUCAAGUCAUUCAGUAGUAUCCUAUAUAGAAGAUUUGAGAAUGCGUGUCACAUACCGUUCCUUUUCCUGUUUUUGUUGUCAGAAAAGUUUCAUGCUUGAGACGUGACAAACCAAAGUCUCCAACCUAUUUGAUGUAAAUAAUGAAAAACCUCAUAUACAUAUACAUAAUAAUUACUAAACUGAUAUUAGAGUGAAACAAAGAAGUUAGGUCAGAAAGAAAAUGAAUUGACAAACGUUGGGAAGUGGAAUGCAAAAAAAUCAAGGCAGACCUUUACGGUCCAGUUCUUGUCUACAAGAAGGUUUGAAGACUUCAAAUCACGAUGAACUAUCGGCGGGCUGCAAUGAUGAAGAUAAUUCACGCCUCUUGCCUGCAUAUUGGGGAACCAGGAGAGUUUUGUAUAGUAAGUGACGCAUGACUUGUAUAUCAACUGAAGUUUGUGCACUUGUUUGUAUAUAGGAAUUGAUUAUGAAUACACAGACAAAGUCACAAAGAACAGAUCCACAGGUGUAAACCCGUGCUCCUUAAUGCUUUGGUUAGUAUGUAAACAUUCAUAUCUAAUUCAUGAUUUCACUUGCACGUAUGUUAUUUUUUGUGUAACUCACAAUAUCCAGUGCCAUGUGUAUACGUCUUCUCCAGUCUAUUCGAGUGGUACUCCUCUGUAGCAACCGGAACAAACUUCCACUGUGAUACCAGGGGUCAAAAUUAUUACAGAAAUAAGCAAGUAUAAAUAACAAAAAGAUAUGGAAUAAGUCUAUUAAUCUAUGUUGCUCCCACGUUCAAUAAUCCAAUAAUCUUGUGCCUCAACUGUUUGUUGCACUUAGUAUUGUAAAUUAUUUUUGAGUAAACUUCAAAGUUGUGGCCAAAGUUUACACCGAUUUUCAAAACGUUGGCCAGAGUUUCAAAUUCUCAUAAAGAUGGCCAAACUUUGGCUCCGCUUUUUAAAAGUGUGGCUCCGUUAAAUGUCACUAACGGAAGUAACGGACAAAAGGNAUUUUAUAUAAAUUAAAGGGUUAAUGCUCUAUUUCAUCAUAUUAAUAUUUUAUAAAAAUAUUUAAAUAAAUAUAUACUAUUCGGGAUGGAUAAUCCCGACGGAAAAUAUAUUUAUACCAUAUUCAUCCCAUAUUAUUAUGGGAAAAAUAAUUAAUCCCGGUCAAUACCGCAUGACCCAUAUUAGCGUCCUGCCCCAUCGGGACUGAUCAGAGAGACUAGUUACCUGUUUGCCAGCCACAACUCCAGUUGCAAAAGAGUGAAUAACUGUAUGCAAAUCAGUCACUUGACAAUUUUGGCAGAUGACACACUUUUGUGCAAUGCAAGAGAUGAAAUACCAAAAUAACUUCAACAAAUCUCAAAAUGGUUGCGGUUUCCAGAUUCACAUCAGGAGAUCGCCAGAGCCUUGAACGUAAGAACAGUCUUUCCAUCUGACGAAGCCUACCAGUAACCAAAACGUUUGUAACCAUUGCUUGUACCGAGUCGAGGUGACGUUUGGAUAAAAAAGAUUGCAAAAGAUCAAUUACAUCACUAUUCAGGUAUCAUUCUGAGCGGCCACUGUACAAUUCUACAAUGAUCUUUCAAAUGGUUCUAGUUCUAGUAGUGCACAACGUCCGAUGAAUGCAAUAUACACAAGCUAUUGCUAAUUGAAUAAUACAUCCCUGACGUUUCAGGUUCAAGAAAUAUCAAUUCUUCUGAUUUAAUGAUUCAAAGGAUGCAAUGACUUGAGACCUCAAUAGUAAACAAAAAUUCUGUGCUCACCAUGCAAUUCAAUUUGUAAUACCGAUGCUGCAGGCAAUUGGCUGCAGCAGGUAC